RNAcentral lists this ribosomal RNA (775 nucleotides) under uncultured bacterium. RNAcentral describes it as "bacterial SSU rRNA". It matches the Rfam family "Bacterial small subunit ribosomal RNA", at positions 28 to 805 of the family's 1533-position model. The record is from RNAcentral.
GAUGACCUCUGGCGGCGUGCUUAACACAUGCAAGUCGAGCGAAGCAGUUAAGAAGAUUCUUCGGAUGAUUCUCAACUGACUGAGCGGCGGACGGGUGAGUAACGCGUGGGUGACCUGCCCCAUACCGGGGGAUAACAGCUGGAAACGGCUGCUAAUACCGCAUAAGCGCACAGAGCUGCGUGGCUCGGCGUGAAAAACUCCGGUGGUAUGGGAUGGGCCCGCGUCUGAUUAGGCAGUUGGCGGGGUAACGGCCCACCAAACCGACGAUCAGUAGCCGGCCUGAGAGGGCGACCGGCCACAUUGGGACUGAGACACGGCCCAAACUCCUACGGGAGGCAGCAGUGGGGAAUAUUGCACAAUGGGGGAAACCCUGAUGCAGCGACGCCGCGUGAGCGAAGAAGUAUUUCGGUAUGUAAAGCUCUAUCAGCAGGGAAGAUAAUGACGGUACCUGACUAAGAAGCCCCGGCUAACUACGUGCCAGCAGCCGCGGUAAUACGUAGGGGGCAAGCGUUAUCCGGAUUUACUGGGUGUAAAGGGAGCGUAGACGGCAAGGCAAGUCUGAUGUGAAAACCCAGGGCUUAACCCUGGGACUGCAUUGGAAACUGUCUGGCUCGAGUGCCGGAGAGGUAAGCGGAAUUCCUAGUGUAGCGGUGAAAUGCGUAGAUAUUAGGAAGAACACCAGUGGCGAAGGCGGCUUACUGGACGGUAACUGACGUUGAGGCUCGAAAGCGUGGGGAGCAAACAGGAUUAGAUACCCUGGUAGUCCACGCCGUAA